GGGCCCGCACAAGCGGUGGAGCAUGUGGUUUAAUUCGAUGCAACGCGAAGAACCUUAUCAGGGUUUGACAUAGUACGAAGUUUUUUGAAAAAAACCACCUUCGGGAACGUACAUACAGGUGGUGCAUGGCUGUCGUCAGCUCGUGUCGUGAGAUGUUGGGUUAAGUCCCGCAACGAGCGUAACCCUUGUUUUAGUUGCCUUUCGAGGAUAUUUAGAAAGACUGCCGAUUAUAAAUCGGAGGAAGGUAAGGACGACGUCAAGUCAUCAUGCCCCUUACACUCUGGGCUACACACGUGCUACAUUGGGUAGAACAAUAAGUUGCUAAGUUGCGAAACCAAGCGAAUCUUCAAAUCUACUCUAAGUUCGGAUUGUAGGCUGCAACUCGCCUGCAUGAAGUUGGAAUC
RNAcentral lists this ribosomal RNA (404 nucleotides) under uncultured bacterium. RNAcentral describes it as "bacterial SSU rRNA". It matches the Rfam family "Bacterial small subunit ribosomal RNA", at positions 917 to 1333 of the family's 1533-position model. The record is from RNAcentral.